GAUGAACGCUGGCGGCGUGCCUAAUACAUGCAAGUCGAGCGAACAGAUGAGGAGCUUGCUCCUCUGACGUUAGCGGCGGACGGGUGAGUAACACGUGGAUAACCUACCUAUAAGACUGGGAUAACUUCGGGAAACCGGAGCUAAUACCGGAUAAUAUAUUGAACCGCAUGGUUCAAUAGUGAAAGACGGUUUUGCUGUCACUUAUAGAUGGAUCCGCGCCGCAUUAGCUAGUUGGUAAGGUAACGGCUUACCAAGGCAACGAUGCGUAGCCGACCUGAGAGGGUGAUCGGCCACACUGGAACUGAGACACGGUCCAGACUCCGACGGGAGGCAGCAGUAGGGAAUCUUCCGCAAUGGGCGAAAGCCUGACGGGGCAACGCCGCGUGAGUGAUGAAGGUCUUCGGAUCGUAAAACUCUGUUAUUAGGGAAGAACAAAUGUGUAAGUAACUAUGCACGUCUUGACGGUACCUAAUCAGAAAGCCACGGCUAACUACGUG
Molecule: ribosomal RNA, 497 nt
Filed under: uncultured bacterium
Lineage: Bacteria
Description: partial 16S ribosomal RNA
Rfam family: Bacterial small subunit ribosomal RNA
Source: RNAcentral